CGAGAAUUUUUCACAAUGGGGGAAACCCUGAUGGAGCGACGCCGCGUGGAGGAUGAAGGGCUUCGGCUCGUAAACUCCUGUCACCACAGACAAAAGCUUCACGGUGAACAUCCGUGAAGAUUGAUGGUAUGUGGAGAGGAAGGGACGGCUAACUCUGUGCCAGCAGCCGCGGUAAUAAAGAGGGCCCAAGCGUUGUUCGGAUUUACUGGGCGUAAAGGGGGCGGAGGAGGGCUGGAAAGUCGGGUGGG
RNAcentral lists this ribosomal RNA (248 nucleotides) under uncultured Candidatus Methylacidiphilales bacterium. Its description in RNAcentral is "uncultured Methylacidiphilales bacterium partial 16S ribosomal RNA". It matches the Rfam family "Bacterial small subunit ribosomal RNA", at positions 356 to 596 of the family's 1533-position model. Lineage: Bacteria; Pseudomonadati; Verrucomicrobiota; Methylacidiphilae; Methylacidiphilales. The record is from RNAcentral.